AGGGAGCUCCGAACCUAUUAAACCUAAAUAUUAUGUAUGGAUUACUUUACCUAUUCAAUUUCUUUUUCGCGCGGUACUUUCUCGUCUCCUCUGUGUAAUUUUUUUCGUUUUCCCUCCUUCCUUCUCCUCCAUUCUCAUUCAUUCUCCUUCCAUUGUUCUCGUUCAGUUGUCGCUAUUAUCGAAGUAGUGGAGGUGGUUGGGUAAAGUUGUUGUUCGGCGUUUGAAGUUCUCGAUUGUGGUGGGUGAAACCCUUGCCUUGUUUGACUGAGAAAAUUAGCUCCGAGCCAAACCCUAACCAGUUUCGUUCCGAACAAGAAACCCAAGAGAAACAUUGAGAUUCAUUCAAUCACCUUAACUUAAAUGCGUGUAGCUACGCAUUCCGUCGAGGGAACUUCGAUCUUCGUUUUCAACGAUGGAUGCGUGGAAUGCAGAUUUUGUGGAGGAGAUUGGGAACUCCGUGGAAUCGUUCCAAAAGUUUUUUUCUUUCGUAGAGAGAUCUCUUCCACAUCCAGAUUGAUCAGUUUCAAGAAAUCGUCGUCACGCAAUGCAAACUCACCGGCGUCAAUCCUCUCUCUCAAGAAAUGGCAUACAAGCAACAGAUAUAUCAGACUUGGCAUUUGAAGCAAGAUUUUGUAUGUGGUCAUGGCAAAACCUUUUGCUGGGAUUUAGUUUUCUACUAUUCCUGUCGACAAGGCACAUUGUGGUGUAUUAUGGAAAAGAAAUGAAGAACCUAAUUUGAUCAAAUGCAUUAUAGAAUUUGAAACAGAUACAUGAUCACAACGUUCAAUUUUCCAAGAGAAGCGAACCUUCUAUAUGACUCAACCUGUGAAACUACUCUGAUUAUACCAAAGGAGUAAUCUGCUUCCAAUUCGUGUCAAGCUACAGAUGAGGAGGAAGUCUUCUAAAUUCUAAAUGAAAGAUCCCUUUAUCCUAUAGGAUGGAUUGAUGUAUGUCUUCCUAUCUUUGGAAGGGUCUGUGACUGUCUUUAUCUCUAUAGGAGUAGGAUUUGGUGUGGUUGAUUACAACUUGUCAUCUAUAUUGAACUUGUCAUCUAUACUGAAAGACUAACCCGUGCAUUAGAAAUUUUGAAGAAGUCAAUUGUAGACUCUAGUGGACACUUUAUUUUCGUUAACGACUCAGAUGUCUCUCCAUUUCAAUGGUCUAAUGAGCAUUCCUUUUUUGUUACUAUUAUUCUAUUACACAUUACUAUUAAAACUUGGUGUUGAAAAAGUUAAAAAUAUUGUUCUAAAGGCAUCCUUUUUCUAGAAUUCACAGCAUAGAUCAAAGAACCCUGCGAUCAUUUGUGAGGGGAAAUUCCUAUAGAGGAAGAAUUACCACUCUAACAUACCUAGACGAGAAUGAAGGCGGAGAGUGAGAGUGCUGGUACUGGCUACCUUACCUUUUCAGAUCCAAAGGGGAGAUGCUGGUUUCUCAAGUCAAAUUUGCAUUUGUAUUUAGAUUAGCAAUCACCAUUUUAUUCAUACCAGGAAGCUUAUAUGGGCCCUGAUGUCCGACAUAAAAUAGUCAAUUGGAUAAAAGACCAUGUAUAUUCUGGUGCAUUUCAUAAGGGUUACCUUCACACUUUCAAUAUGUCUAAUGGAAGUGGAAAAGUGGGUGAUAAGAGACUGGUUUGAGCUAUUGACAUGACUGCAUUUGAACUUGAUCUACUAGAAGAAUAUGAUUCACGCUUUAAGAAGUUGAGUCUAGGUGAUAAAUUGCCUAUCAAAUUCUUCAAGUGAUUAAUUGUUAGAAAGACAAGUUAUUGAACUAUAGACAAUGUAAUUGUUAAUAUUUUAAGUUGGAUUACAAACAAUGUAAUUUUCAAUUUCUAUUUAUAAUUGUUUCUUGAUGAUUAGAUGUUUUAAUAUUACAUUUUGAGUUGUGUAAUUAUGUUAUGUAAAUAUA
Molecule: long non-coding RNA, 1905 nt
Organism: Vigna angularis (adzuki bean)
Lineage: Eukaryota; Viridiplantae; Streptophyta; Magnoliopsida; Fabales; Fabaceae
Exons: 9
Source: RefSeq, a predicted model, not a curated record